RNAcentral lists this ribosomal RNA (405 nucleotides) under uncultured bacterium. Its description in RNAcentral is "bacterial SSU rRNA". It matches the Rfam family "Bacterial small subunit ribosomal RNA", at positions 29 to 417 of the family's 1533-position model. The record is from RNAcentral.
AACGAACGCUGGCGGCGUGCCUAACACAUGCAAGUCGUGCGAGAAAGUUCCUUCGGGAGCGAGUAAAGCGGCGCACGGGUGAGUAACACGUAGGUAACCUGCCCCCCAGUCUGGAACAACUAGAGGAAACUCUAGCUAAUGCCGGAUGAGACCACGAUCCCUUCGGGGGUUGCGGCCAAAGAUGGCCUCUACUUGUAAGCUAUCGCUGAGGGAUGGGCCUGCGGGCCAUUAGCUUGUUGGUGAGGUAACGGCUCACCAAGGCUGUGAUGGUUAGCUGGUCUGAGAGGAUGACCAGCCACACUGGGACUGAGACACGGCCCAGACUCCUACGGGAGGCAGCAGUGGGGAAUAUUGCGCAAUGGGCGAAAGCCUGACGCAGCGACGCCGCGUGGGUGAUGAAGGCCU